Rattus norvegicus (Norway rat) is the source of this 1920-nucleotide non-coding RNA. Lineage: Eukaryota; Metazoa; Chordata; Mammalia; Rodentia; Muridae. The record is from RefSeq and is a predicted model, not a curated record.
UGCAGCCCUGCAGCAGUGAGAGGGAAGACCUCAGUUAGAAAACAAAUUGCUCACGUAGUUUCUUUUUACGGUUGAGAGCAAAAGUGAAAGUGAAUUUACAGCCACGAAAGUAGGGGAGGAGGUUAUAUCCACCCUAUGUCUUGGACUGAGGACUUAGCCCUACCACUCCGAGAGCUCACUCUGGUGAUACAGGUGGUACAGAAAAGGGAUUUCUGCAAUCGAGAUGAGCUCUACAAAAUUUGAGCCCACCAGGACCCAAGGAAAGCUGGACUACUGACUUAUGCGAAUUAACAAGAUGUGAACGAAUGCAUGAUAGUAGCAGAAACAUCCCGGUUUUUGAAAAUUACUUCCAUUAAAGAUUACCAGUGUUCUAGAUGCACAGAACACAUGAAACUCAAGACGGAUGGUCAAAAUGUGAAUGCUUCACUCCUUCUUUAAAAGGGGGAACAAGAAUACCCUUGGCAGGGAAUAGAGAGGCAAAGAUUAAAACAGAGACUGAAGGAACACCCAUUCAGAGCCUGCCCCACAUGUGGCCCAUACAUAUACAGCCACCCAAUUAGACAAGAUGGAUGAAGCAAAGAAGUGCAGGCCGACAGGAGCCGGAUGUAGAUCGCUCCUGAGAGACACAGCCAGAAUACAGCAAAUACAGAGGCGAAUGCCAGCAGCAAACCACUGAAGUGAGAAUAGGACCCCCGUUGAAGGAAUCAGAGAAAGAACUGGAGGAGCUUGAAGGGGCUCGAGACCCCUUAUGAACAAAAAUGCCAAGCAACCAGAGCUUCCAGGGACUAAGCCACUACCUAAAGACUAUACAUGGACUGACCCUGGACUCUGACCUCAUAGGUAGCAAUGAAUAGCCUAGUAAGAUCACCAGUGGAAGGGGAAGCCCUUGGUCCUGCUAAGACUGAACCCCCAGUGAACGUGAUUGUUGGGGGGAGGGCGGCGGCAAUGGGGGGAGGUUGGAGAGGGGAACACCCAUAAAGAAGGGGAGGGGGAGGGAUUAGGGGGAUGUUUGCCCAGAAACCGGGAAAGGGAAUAACAUUUGAAAUGUAAAUAAGAAAUACUCAAGUUAAUAAAAAAUAAAAUAAAAAUAAAAAUAAAAAAAGAUUACCAGUGUUAUAUCCAAGCACGCUGUAUUCUUAUUAGCGAGAGUGACAUCAAGAACUGGCACAGAUGACAUCACUACUGAGGAUAAGAUGACCUCCCAGAAUGUGGACCAAUGAAAGUGUUGGACUUUACCUGAAAUAUGCAAAUAUUAGUAGAUUUGUUUUGUAAUAAACUGACAAAUAUGUUCAAUAAGAAGGAAACGGUAAGAAUGUAUUUGAAAACAAGGCGAAGUCACACCUCCAAUUUGCAUUCUUACUCGUCCCUUCCAAACAUGUUACCAAAGGAAAUCCUCUCAGGACAUUGUGUAGCCUGUAGAGGGUACAAGGGACAAGGAGACAUUUUGAACUGCAUUGCAUGGUAUCCUGUGUGCCCCCUUCGCCCCUCAAGCUGAAUGUUCUGUCCUUGAUACUUCAAGUUAAAAUCAGGACGGAUACUGUUUCCAGCAUUUAAAGAUGUACUACUCUGAAAAUUAUUUUUCUUAAAAUUAUGCUUGUGUUGUGUAUCAAGGUCACGCUAACAGCUUUCAUUCAUGUUCUAAAGAAGAGCAAAGAGCACAAAAAUUAGCAAGAACCUUACUUAUUAAAUGUCAUUGUGUACACUCUGCCCCCUUCCUUCUGUGAUGUACUAGUCAACUAACCCCUGUCCAAAAUUAUGGAGCUGCUCUUAGAAAAAGGCAUGAAACUGUGUAUGUAUUUCUGUUACACAGUAACACGUAGAAACACACAAUGCAUUGUGGAAUAUCUGUCCGAUGUAUUGCCUUUGAAUCGGAUGUAUUGACAGAAUUGCACAGUGAGUAAAUAUCAGGUUUUUUGUUUG